AGCAGCCGCGGUAAUUCCAGCUCCAAUAGCGUAUAUUAAAGUUGUUGCAGUUAAAAGCUCGUAGUUGAAUUUCGGGAUCAAUAUGUUGGUCGUGCCUUGGUACGUACUGGCAUUAUUGGUUUCUACCUUCUGAAGAACCUCGAUGUCAUUAAUUUGGUGUCUUGGGGAAUCAGGACUGUUACUUUGAAAAAUUAGAGUGUUUAAAGCAGGCUCGCGCUUGAAUACAUUAGCAUGGAAUAAUGAAAUAGGACGUUUGAUUCUAUUUUGUUGGUUUCUAGGAUCGACGUAAUGAUUAAUAGGGAUAGUUGGGGGCAUUAGUAUUCAAUUGUCAGAGGUGAAAUUCUUGGAUUUAUUGAAGACUAACUACUGCGAAAGCAUUUGCCAAGGAUGUUUUCAUUAAUCAAGAACGAAAGUUAGGGAUCGAAGACGAUCAGAUACCGUCGUAGUCUUAACCACAAACUAUGCCGACUAGGGAUCGGAUGAUGUUUAAUUUUUAAUGUACUCAUUCGGCGCCUUAAC
Molecule: unclassified non-coding RNA, 519 nt
Filed under: uncultured Glomus
Lineage: Eukaryota; Fungi; Glomeromycota; Glomeromycetes; Glomerales; Glomeraceae
Description: SSU rRNA
Rfam family: Eukaryotic small subunit ribosomal RNA
Source: RNAcentral